UUGGGAACCUAAGCCUCUACUAAGU
RNAcentral lists this non-coding RNA (25 nucleotides) under Rattus norvegicus (Norway rat). Lineage: Eukaryota; Metazoa; Chordata; Mammalia; Rodentia; Muridae. The record is from RNAcentral.